This 253-nucleotide ribosomal RNA is filed under the name uncultured bacterium. RNAcentral's name for it is "partial 16S ribosomal RNA". It matches the Rfam family "Bacterial small subunit ribosomal RNA", at positions 524 to 776 of the family's 1533-position model. The record is from RNAcentral.
UACGUAGGGUGCGAGCGUUGUCCGGAAUUAUUGGGCGUAAAGGGCUCGUAGGCGGUCUGUUGCGUCGGGAGUGAAAACUCAGGGCUUAACCCUGAGCCUGCUUCCGAUACGGGCAGACUAGAGGUAUGCAGGGGAGAACGGAAUUCCUGGUGUAGCGGUGAAAUGCGCAGAUAUCGAGAGGAACACCUGCGGCGAAGGCGGGUUGCUGGGCUGACACUGACGCUGAGGCGCGAAAGCCAGGGGAGCGAACGGG